Long non-coding RNA from Oncorhynchus nerka (sockeye salmon), 532 nucleotides. RefSeq lists it as uncharacterized. The record is from RefSeq and is a predicted model, not a curated record. The transcript is spliced from 3 exons. NCBI's taxonomy places the organism in Eukaryota, Metazoa, Chordata, Actinopteri, Salmoniformes, Salmonidae.
AGACCGGGGUGAUGUCGGGAAAGGACAUUUUCCUAUCGUUAAAGGACGUGGUUGAUGGCUGGAAAGGACAUUUUCCCUUCGUUAAAGGUUCUCACUGAAGGGGAUAAUUCUCACUGAAACUACAGAAUAAAGCCGCCAGUUAAAAUCAUGGAACGGUUGUGCUCGUGGUUACUGAAGGGAGCUACAAGACCAUUAUUCGUUUCGAAUUCACCAACUCAAAGACGCUUGCCCGCUCCAUCAUAACUCCGUAAGUUUUCCCUCCCUGUGUAGAUCAAACGUCCUGCCUGUAAAUCCUGGGUAUGCCCACAUCAUUAAUGAAUAAGAUGUGUAGAAAACUGUUUAGCCAUAGUUAAAGGCCUUUCAUAAAGAGGCUGUCAUGAUUGCCUGUGCCUCAUGUUUAACACGUAUUGCUUGUUACAGAAUACUACUGUUGUACAUUUAAUAUCCCCUAGCAGAUUUCGUUGCCUUUGCACAAAUUCUGUCAUGUUACUGUGGUCUUUUUAAAAGUCAAUAAAAAUGUGUGUAAAGUGUC